This 497-nucleotide ribosomal RNA is filed under the name uncultured bacterium. RNAcentral describes it as "partial 16S ribosomal RNA". It matches the Rfam family "Bacterial small subunit ribosomal RNA", at positions 28 to 507 of the family's 1533-position model. The record is from RNAcentral.
GAUGAACGCUGGCGGCGUGCCUAAUACAUGCAAGUCGAGCGAACGGACGAUAAGCUUGCUUCUCUGAUGUUAGCGGCGGACGGGUGAGUAACACGUGCAUAACCUACUUAUAAUACUGGGAUAACUUCGGGAAACCGUAGCUAAUACUGGAUAAUAUUUUGAACCGCAUGGUUCAAAAGUUCAAGACGGCUUUCCUGUCACUUAUAGAUGGAUCCGCGCUGCAUUAGCUAGUUGGUAAGGUAACGGCUUACCAAGGCAACGAUGCAUAGCCGACCUGAGAGGGUGAUCGGCCACACUGGAACUGAGACACGGUCCAGACUCCUACGGGAGGCAGCAGUAGGGAAUCUUGCGCAAUGGGCGAAAGCCUGACGGAGCAACGCCGCGUGAGUGAUGAAGGUCUUCGGAUCGUAAAACCCUGUUAUUAGGGAAGAACAGAUGUGUAAGUAACUGUGGACAUCUUGACGGUACCUAAUCAGAAAGCCACGGCUAACUACGUG